RNAcentral lists this ribosomal RNA (484 nucleotides) under uncultured bacterium. RNAcentral describes it as "partial 16S ribosomal RNA". It matches the Rfam family "Bacterial small subunit ribosomal RNA", at positions 30 to 507 of the family's 1533-position model. The record is from RNAcentral.
AUUGAACGCUGGCGGCAGGCCUAACACAUGCAAGUCGAGCGGAGGAAGGGAGCUUGCUCCUGUAUUCAGCUGCGGACGGGUGAGUAAUGCCUAGGAAACUGCCUGUUCGUGGGUGAUAACGUCCCGGAACGGGCGCUAAUACCGCAUACGUCCUGACGGAGCGAGUGGGGGAUCUUCGGACCUCACGCUAUCAGAUGAGCCUAGGUCGGAUUAGCUAGUUGGUGUGGUAAAGGCCUACCAAGGCGACGAUCCGUAACUUGUCUGAGAGGAUGAUCAGUCACACUGGAACUGAGACACGGUCCAGAGUCCUACGGGAGGCAGCAGUGGGGAAUAUUGGACAAUGGGCGAAAGCCUGAUCCAGCCAUGCCGCGUGUGUGAAGAAGGUCUUAGGAUUGUAAAGCACUUUAAGUUGGGAGGAAGGGAAGUAAGUUAAUACCUUGCUGUUUUGACGUUACCAACAGAAUAAGCCCCGGCUAACUUCGUG